RNAcentral lists this long non-coding RNA (2391 nucleotides) under Homo sapiens (human). Its description in RNAcentral is "non-protein coding lnc-CGA-2:3". The record is from RNAcentral. Lineage: Eukaryota; Metazoa; Chordata; Mammalia; Primates; Hominidae.
GGCGUCCCGAUCCCGGCGUGGCUUUCCCCAGUCCACGAAGUCUUCUACGGACAUAUCCUCCUGUUCCCCAAGAGGAUGGCACAGGGAGAGUUCUGAGUGGUCUCGGGCAAUGGCUGCAUUUGCUGUUGGCCUGUAAGCAGGCCAGAAGCAGAGGAAGAGAGAGAAGGCACUACUUGGUUUGGGACAAGUCAGAGGCGAAUAAAAGCUCUUCCUGCCUUGAAGAAGCUUACAGUUUUGUGGGAAAAUGAUCUGCAAUGGGAAUACAUACGAUAUGACAAAUGUUCUAUUAUGAAAAUGCAUGCCUGUAUUCAACUUAGAACAUCAAAGUAAUCUCAGAUACUAACAAGAAUGUCCAACGAAUCUCUACAUAAGUGCAGGCUUUUUUUUUUUUUUUUUUUUUUAAUGAGAAGGAUUGAAAAUACUAUCCCGUGACAGGUCAACCUUGUCUUGGAAAUCUCAGAAAUCUCAAUCUUAUCCAUAGAAAAGUCAUGACUUCUGUGCUUAUGUCCAUUUGUUCUUUAAAUACCAAACUGUCAGCUCAUAGGAACCAUUUACACACACACACUGACACACACACAAACACGCACACCCCUACUUACUGAGAUGUUCCUGGGGAGAUUCGAAGACCUGUUCCAUUGAGAAAACAAGAAUAAGCCCCUGGGGCAAAAGACUCCGCGUCUCUGGGGAACUCAGUAUCCGCGCCGCGAGCACCCAUGCCCAUUUUGAACACAACGCGACUGCUAAGGACGUGGUGUAAUCAUAUGGACCUUCACUCCCAAGAGACUCGAUUUCAGAGAAAAUCUGGGAGACAAAUUUAGAUCCCUACCCGCACCCACGCGAUCAAUAAAGCUGGGGAGACCUUUGGGGGAGGGGACAGAUGUGCUUGCAUCCGGGCCGUGCGUGCCUGCUUCACGGGUUUUCCGGGCAGCACCGGCCCGCACACGCCGGUGCACUCUUUUUCUGGAAUUCUUGAAAUAGCCGGGCCUGAGGACAGUAAGGGAGCUGAGUUGUGUCUGCUACAGACAAGCGGCGCAGAGCCUGGGGGCCAAGCCAGGGAUGCAGGGAGCGCGGCGUUAGCGGAUGACGGAUAGCUCAGGGCUAAGGCCUGGCAGGUCCUUCCUACCCCCGACCCAGUACACCCCGCAGCCCCGCCCUCGCCCCAGCACGCGAGGUGAAAGCGCGAGGCCCGGGGAUGGCGGAGAGCGUGCGCCACUAUCGGGGCGCUGUCUCUUGCCCCGCUCUCGCCCUGGGCCGGAGAACGGAGAAGGUCCGCAGGCCUCGGGCCACGGAGGGCACCAGAUCGGUCCGCUCUGCUCCGCUAACCCAGCCUGCGCCCCUCCACCCCGCCAAGGCCCUGCUGGGCGCUGCGCCGGUUGCUCGCGUCCUCUGUUGUCGCGGAGCCGCCGCCGCCGCCGCCCGCGAACCAGCAACGCCGACACCCAGCAGUUGCAGGCCCGGCGUUUGCCGCCGCGGUUUUUCCACCCAGCACUGAGGAUCAAGCCCGCUGUAGCCUGGCUGCGACUCCCCGCUUGGGAGCAGAGGCCGCCAGGGGCCUCCAGGCCGAGAGAUUCUGGAGCCUUUCCAGGGCGCGGCGGGGAGCGGGGCCUCCGGAAACCCACCCCGGGGAUGCUGGAGUCUGUCCUGCAGAGGCCGUGGCGCGGGCACUGCUGCCUGAUUUCGAAGAGGCUCCAUCAACCUACUCUCUUCCAAAGGGCUGGGCAGCCCAGCCACAGACAGGCAGCCUCUGGAUCUCAGAAGUGAGGGACGGAGUCUAUCCUGGGUUUGGUCCAGUAGAAACCCCCCACCCCCACCCCCAGAGUCUGGGAACCAGUGCUGUGCCCACAGAUGCAAAGAGAAAGAGCAUGGGUUAAAGCGCUAUUGGGAUCGGUUAGACACCACACUUUUCCAAGGAAGACAUUUUCUUCGAGAGGAACAGCAAAAGGAGUCAAUAUAAUGUUAAAAAUAUUAAGGCAGGUGCUGUGCCACAUGUUGAAGUGAUUCCAAAAGCAGAGAAAACAUGGGACUCACAUUUAAGAGGAUUAAUUGUAGCCUUUGAGUUUUUCCCAGAAAAAAAAAAAAGGCUAGCAUAUAUAUUUUCAUAUAUUUAUAUGAACAGGUAAUUAAAUAAGGAGGGAUUUUAAAAAAUUGUCUAUUUGGAUAUCGUUUUCCUUUCCAUUUGAGGAAAAGCCAAAUGCAAAUAAGGAGAAUAAUAUUUAAAGAACAUGCUUUUAAUAGAGCCUCAAUUAUCCUUCUAAUUUAACCAAGAUGAAAAUAAUUGUGAAAUAAAGCAAAAUAAAAUCUUGGAAGCAUAAAUGUGUUAUACAUUGUUCUUUUGUUUGUUUGUUUGAGACGGAGUCUCACUCUGUCUCCCUAGGCUGGAGUGCAGUGGCG